Molecule: long non-coding RNA, 3359 nt
Filed under: Mus musculus (house mouse)
Lineage: Eukaryota; Metazoa; Chordata; Mammalia; Rodentia; Muridae
Description: predicted gene 27151 (Gm27151)
Source: RNAcentral
AAUACAAGCCAGAACUGCAUGCAUUCUCACGCCCCAGAACUGGCGUCCCAGCCCAAGUGCGAAGUUGGGCGUUUCAACCUGAAAAGCAGAGUAAGAGCCAUUCAAAGCAGCAAGUUACAGUACCUUGAGAAGUCUGACAGAUGGGAGAAAGGCUGCGUGGCAUAGCUUCCGGAUGGUCCAAUUUAGGGGUCGAGAAGCAUCAGUCUGAUUCAUGACCCCUUCCAAAUUCCACCGGGAAGACAAGAAACUGCAAAUCUGGGCAGUGCCUAGAAAAUAAACGGUCCCCCACGGCCCUGGCAUCCCAUGGUCAUCUCCACACCUGCAAAUUCCAUUAGGGCAGAGGCUUCCUGGAACUUGGGAGUCUAGUCAAGUGGCGUUUCCUGAGCCCCUGAACCUUCUUAAGAAAGCCACCUCCCCUCUUCCUGCAGCCGUGCUCAUGCAUACCAAAUGUGGCCGAAUGGAGGCACGCUGCCUGCUGCUUCGGGGAGGGGGAUGCUUGAUUUCGAAGGAGAGGGACAGCCUGCACAAAACAGCCUGUGGUCGGAGUCAGAGGAGCCUGCUCCAGAAUGCGCGCUCCCUCUCCUGCUCUCCUUCUGCAAACACAGUGGGGAGAAGGACAUUUUGAAGUGUUGGCAGCUGGGAUGUCAGGCACGGUGCUGGGCACUUUUCAUCAUGUAGGAGAAGCCACUACAGAGAACCAGCGGGUAAAUACACACACCUGACAUUCCUGACAGCGUCCUCCACCCCUGCAACUGAAAGGCAACCACACAUCUAGAAAUAAGCUAUGAAACUAAUAUAUAAAAAAAUGUGUUGCAUUGAAAAAUUAAAAGAUAUGCAAACAUCUUGUAUCUCACUAAAAAUAAAAACCACACAUGCUAAAUGGGACGUAUAUGCCACAUCCCCAUCCCCAGAGGCUCAGGGAUCAUGGUUGAAGAGAAGAUGGAAAAAAUACCAGUGCCUGAGGCAGUGGAUGGUUACAAGGAAGCAGUGUCCUUAGGACAGAGCAACUGUGACAGCAAACACAAGUGCUAUUGGCAACUGGUAGCUGCUGGGAGGCGAGUCAGUAGGACCCUGGUAAAUUGACCAGGCUCCAAUAGAAGAGAACACAACCAGGAUUAUUUGUGCAGCACACACUGGUCUUGAUGGCUUACAAAAAGAAGAAGAAGAAGAAGAAGAAGAAGAAGAAGAAGAAGAAGAAGAAGAAGAAGAAGAAGAAGAAGAAGAAGAAGAAGAAGAAGAAGAAGACACAAAAUUGAGUGGGUAGGGAGGGGAAUGGAUCUGUGAGGAGCUAAAAGAGGGAGGUAAAUGAGAUCAAACCCCUUAUAUGAAAUUCUCAAAUAACUAACAGACUAUUGUUUGUUAGUCACACACAUAAAGUGCACAACAAAUUUAAAAGGUCAGGAGCUAAAGAACACCCACGUUGAGCUUUGAAAUCCUAUUACUUCCCAUUCACAACGGGAAUGAUUUUUUUUUUUUUUGCAAUGAUUCAAAAAUUUUAAUGAGUCCAUGGAGCCUUGUUAAAAGCGUAAGAAUUUGAGAUGUUCAUUUUAAACUACUUGAUAGUCACAGUUUCCUGAUGCCUAUGAUGCUAUGCUGUUUAUUACUGCACCUCUUCUCUCUGUUGUAAGCUUAGGUGUGUGCAACACAGUGUGUACAAACAGUUACACCUCUGUGUAGACAGUGUAUUAGAGGAAAUUCAUCAGCCUUACCAUGGUGCUAUUGAACUAAUGCACCUAUUGAAUUAUCUGUGGGGUGGGGAGAUUGAAGACAUCAGUCUUCAAUUUCUGUUUGAAGAAACUCUAUCAGUUGAACAGAAUCUCAGAAUCUCAGUAUUGCUAACAGUGCACCUUAAGAAAAGUAUUGGCCACGGACUAGUCAAACAUGGACACAUUCAAGUCAAACAGUAGAUAUAUCCCUGCCAGUGUCUUCUGGCUCUCAUCCAUGAGAGCUGAGUAUACCAGCCACACAUUGAGCCUUGUGCAUGUGGAGCCUUUCAUGCUGAUGGCCAGGACCACAUUAGAACAUAAGGUCUGCUCACCUGGGAAAGAGGGACAUACUGUGAUCUGGAAAAUCUUCAAAGGGGUGGCACUGCCUCAGAGUGGAAUUUCAUGAUGAAAGCUAAUGAAAAUUGUACGUCUUGUACUUGCUAUUUAUUCUGGUCAUUCUUUGAGAAAAUGGGUCCCUGUGCUCAUUCUGUUAUCUUAUUUCCAACAACGAUGAGCCUUAUUCAUAGCAGCUCAGGAAUUAGAUGAUUUUAGUUGGUUGGCCAUUUUAUAUUUUGGGAUUUUUUUUUUUGAAGGGGGAUUAAAAUCAAUGCAACUUGAAACCAGGGUAAACUGGACUUGAAACCCUAUUAAGCUAUUUGGCAAUUAAUAUAAUUUUUCGUAACUCUUAAUUGUUAAAAACAGAUAGAGCUGAUUGUGAUAAAGGCAAAAAUGAUCGACCAAUUGCUGAGUGCUAACCACAAAGAGUAUUAUGUACCAAGAGCUCACUCAGCUUAUGCCUCUUAAUACACUCAGAAAGUUUGUAACAUUCUCUCACUAUGACUAACAAAGAAGCCCUCUCUCAAGUUGAUAUUCCUUCAGGAGGUCACCUGAGGCAAGGUAGACUUAAAUCUAGGCCCAUCUGAUUCUAUCAUCUAUAGUUUUACCUAUUACAAGAUACUGGUGGCCAUUUUAAAAGGCAAGGAUGAAGAAGAGCUCUUCUGACUUUCCGUGAAGAAACCAGCGUUUGAGAUGUUGAACCUGAACAGAGACAAAGCAGUGCUGGAGAAUUCACCAUGAUUCCUGAGACUGGACAGCACAGCCCUUUCAUGGCUCUGGCUUUUGUUCUCCCUAUUGACUCUCGCUCACUCCCCUUCCCACUUUGUGGUUUCAGUAGGCAGAGCUCCAUAGUGAGACAAAGACUGUCCAUACUCAUUUGGCAUGCCCAAGAGUUAUUUAACAGCUCCCUUCCAACAUGGUACAUACUAAAUUAAAAAAAUAAUGUUUCUACAAUGUUCAUAGGCAGGUUCAGCUUUUUCCUACACAGACAAAGUUGUUUACCUCUCAUUAUUAUCCACAUUUUAUUCCUACCUGCAUUUUCUAGAUCAGGAAAGCAAUGCUUAAAUUAAAAGUUGAAUGUAUACACAAGUUUAUUCUGCAAGUUUCAGAGCCAUGGUUUUUAUAUACUGUAUGAGGCUUAUUAGCAUGUUUAAGUAAACUUACAUUUAGGGCAAUGGAAACAGUUUCAGAUACCUGAUGAGACCUACCAUUCUAAAUAUUUAGAAUAGAAAUAGAUGGGUUCCAACACACAAUAAUGCACUUAGGGCAAAACUGUAUGGCUAUCAUGGUUAAUAAAACUCAAAAAUGUCCAUGUAA